Small nucleolar RNA from Oryza rufipogon (brownbeard rice), 88 nucleotides. It matches the Rfam family "Small nucleolar RNA R16". From Rfam's summary of the family: snoR16 is a member of the C/D class of snoRNA which contain the C (UGAUGA) and D (CUGA) box motifs. Most of the members of the box C/D family function in directing site-specific 2'-O-methylation of substrate RNAs. The record is from Rfam. NCBI's taxonomy places the organism in Eukaryota, Viridiplantae, Streptophyta, Magnoliopsida, Poales, Poaceae.
GGUGGCAAAUGAUGUGAAAACAAUCUUAUCCUACACACUGAAUCUUUGAUGUGUGGACAAACAUCUCCGCUUAUUAUCUGAUGCCACU